RNAcentral lists this ribosomal RNA (1699 nucleotides) under Lentilactobacillus buchneri. RNAcentral describes it as "Lactobacillus buchneri partial 23S ribosomal RNA". It matches the Rfam family "Bacterial large subunit ribosomal RNA", at positions 1 to 1693 of the family's 2925-position model. Lineage: Bacteria; Bacillati; Bacillota; Bacilli; Lactobacillales; Lactobacillaceae. The record is from RNAcentral.
AGGUUAAGUUAAAAAGGGCGCAUGGUGGAUGCCUUGGCACUAGAAGCCGAUGAAGGACGGGACUAACACCGAUAUGCUUCGGGGAGCUGUACGUAAGCUUUGAUCCGGAGAUUUCCGAAUGGGGAAACCCAGCAGUUUUAAUCGACUGUUACUAUAUAGUGAAUUCAUAGCUGUAUAGAGGUAGACGUGGGGAACUGAAACAUCUCAGUACCCACAGGAGCAGAAAGAAAUUUUCGAUUCCCUCAGUAGCGGCGAGCGAACGGGGAACAGCCCAAACCAAUGAGCUUGCUCAUUGGGGUUGUAGGACUGAACAUUUGAGUUACCAAAGUUGUUGAUAAUCGAACAAUCUGGGAAGGUUGGCGAAACAGGGUGAUAGCCCCGUAGGUGAAAUCAAUGACCCUCAGUUCAGGAUCCUGAGUACGGCGACACACGUGAAACGUCGUCGGAAUCCGGGAGGACCAUCUCCCAAGGCUAAAUACUCUCUAGUGACCGAUAGUGAACCAGUACCGUGAGGGAAAGGUGAAAAGCACCCCGGAAGGGGAGUGAAAUAGUUCCUGAAACCAUGUGCCUACAAGCAGUUAGAGCCCGUUAAUGGGUGAUAGCGUGCCUCUUGUAGAAUGAACCGGCGAGUUACGGUAACAUGCCAGGUUAAGGUUUAAAAGCCGGAGCCGCAGCGAAAGCGAGUCUGAAAUGGGCGUUUUAGUAUGUUGCUGUAGACCCGAAACCAGGUGAUCUACCCAUGUCCAGGGUGAAGGUGCGGUAAAACGCACUGGAGGCCCGAACCCGUGUACGUUGAAAAGUGCUGGGAUGAGGUGUGGGUAGCGGUGAAAUUCCAAACGAACUUGGAGAUAGCUGGUUCUCUCCGAAAUAGCUUUAGGGCUAGCCUCGGACGUAGAAUCAUGGAGGUAGAGCCACUGUUUGGAUGAGGGGCCCGUCAUGGGUUACUAAGUUCAGAUAAACUCCGAAUACCAUUGAUUUUUAUCCGGGAGUCAGACGGUGAGUGAUAAGAUCCAUCGUCAAAAGGGGAACAGCCCAGACCACCAGUUAAGGUCCCUAAAUAUAUGCUAAGUGGAAAAGGAUGUGGAGUUGCAUAGACAACUAGGAUGUUGGCUCAGAAGCAGCCACCAUUUAAAGAGUGCGUAAUAGCUCACUAGUCGAGUGAUUCCGCGCCGAAAAUUUACCGGGGCUAAGCAUAUUACCGAGACUGUGGACUUGACCUUCGGUCAAGUGAUAGGAGAGCGUUCUAAGGGCAAUGAAGCCAGACCGUAAGGACUGGUGGAGCGCUUAGAAGUGAGAAUGCCGGUAUGAGUAGCGAAAGAUCAGUGAGAAUCUGAUCCACCGAAUGACUAAGGUUUCCUGGGGAAGGCUCGUCCUCCCAGGGUUAGUCGGGACCUAAGCCGAGGCCGCAAGGCGUAGGCGAUGGAUAACAGGUUGAGAUUCCUGUACUAGUUGAUGAUGUUUGAGCGAUGGAGGGACGCAGGAGGCUAAGUUGUGCAUCCAGUUGGAAAGGGAUGUUCAAGCCACGAGUCAGUCAAAGAGUCAAAUGCUUUUUGGCGGGUUGACAAGUGGUGAUGAGGACCGAAAUUUAAGUAGGGAAGCAACCGACGUCACACUGCCGAGAAAAGCUUCUAGUGAGUCAUCAACUACCCGUACCGCAAACCGACACAGGUAGUCGAGGAGAGAAUCCUCAGGUGAGCGA